This 253-nucleotide ribosomal RNA is filed under the name uncultured bacterium. RNAcentral describes it as "partial 16S ribosomal RNA". It matches the Rfam family "Bacterial small subunit ribosomal RNA", at positions 524 to 776 of the family's 1533-position model. The record is from RNAcentral.
GACAGAGGAGCCAAGCGUUGUCCGGAUUGACUGGGCGUAAAGAGCGCGCAGGCGGUCAAGUAAGUCGAAUGUGAAAGCCCCCGGCUCAACUGGGGAGGGUCAUUCGAUACUGCUCGACUUGAAGGCAGGAGAGGGCAGCAGAAUUCCCGGUGUAGUGGUGAAAUGCGUAGAUAUCGGGAGGAAUACCAGUGGCGAAGGCGGCUGCCUGGCCUGUUCUUGACGCUGAGGCGCGAAAGCUGGGGAAGCAAACGGG